CCUACGGGUGGCAGCAGUGGGGAAUAUUGGACAAUGGGCGAAAGCCUGAUCCAGCCAUGCCGCGUGUGUGAAGAAGGCCUUCGGGUUGUAAAGCACUUUCAGUGGGGAAGAAAGCCUUGGGGCUAAUACCCUCGAGGAAGGACAUCACCCACAGAAGAAGCACCGGCUAACUCCGUGCAAGCAGCCGCGGUAAUACGGAGGGUGCGAGCGUUAAUCGGAAUUACUGGGCGUAAAGCGCGCGUAGGCGGUCUGAUAAGCCGGUUGUGAAAGCCCCGGGCUCAACCUGGGAACGGCAUCCGGAACUGUCAGGCUAGAGUGCAGGAGAGGUAGGUAGAAUUCCCGGUGUAGCGGUGAAAUGCGUAGAGAUCGGGAGGAAUACCAGUGGCGAAGGCGGCCUUCUGGACUGACACUGACGCUGAGGUGCGAAAGCGUGGGUAGCAAACAGGAUUAGAUACCCUAGUAGUC
RNAcentral lists this ribosomal RNA (465 nucleotides) under Vreelandella stevensii. Its description in RNAcentral is "partial 16S ribosomal RNA". It matches the Rfam family "Bacterial small subunit ribosomal RNA", at positions 338 to 795 of the family's 1533-position model. The record is from RNAcentral. Lineage: Bacteria; Pseudomonadati; Pseudomonadota; Gammaproteobacteria; Oceanospirillales; Halomonadaceae.